RNAcentral lists this transfer RNA (71 nucleotides) under Marmota monax (woodchuck). RNAcentral's name for it is "tRNA.Ala". It matches the Rfam family "tRNA". From Rfam's summary of the family: Transfer RNA (tRNA) molecules are approximately 80 nucleotides in length. The record is from RNAcentral. Lineage: Eukaryota; Metazoa; Chordata; Mammalia; Rodentia; Sciuridae.
GGGGCUGUAGCUCAGUGGUAGAGCACCCGCCUUGCAUGUGUGAGGCACUGGGUUCAAUCCUCAGCACCACA